Molecule: non-coding RNA, 72 nt
Organism: Bubalus bubalis (water buffalo)
Lineage: Eukaryota; Metazoa; Chordata; Mammalia; Artiodactyla; Bovidae
Source: the annotation of a RefSeq genome assembly
UCCCUGGUGGUCCAGUGGUUAGGACUCUGAGCUCUCACUGCUGAAAUCUGGGUUCGAUCCCCAGUCAGGGAA